RNAcentral lists this ribosomal RNA (500 nucleotides) under uncultured bacterium. RNAcentral describes it as "partial 16S ribosomal RNA". It matches the Rfam family "Bacterial small subunit ribosomal RNA", at positions 30 to 523 of the family's 1533-position model. The record is from RNAcentral.
AUUGAACGCUGGCGGCAUGCCUUACACAUGCAAGUCGAACGGCAGCACGGGAGCAAUCCUGGUGGCGAGUGGCGAACGGGUGAGUAAAGUAUCGGAACGUGCCUAGUCGUGGGGCAUGACGUAGCGAAAGUUACGCUAAUACCGCUUACGAUCUAGUGAUGAAAGCGGGGGCACGCAAGACCACGCGCGACUGGAUCGGCCGAUAUCGGAUCAGGUAGUUGGUGGGGUAAAGGCUCACCAAGACGACGAUCUGUACCUGGUCUGAGAGGACGACCAGCCACACUGGGACUGAGACACGGCCCAGACUCCUACGGGAGGCAGCAGUGGGGAAUUUUGGACAAUAGGCGAAAGCCUGAUCCAGCCAUGCCGCGUGCAGGAUGAAGGCCUUCGGGUUGUAAACUGCUUUUGUACGGAACGAAAAGGUUUGGCCUAAUAAGCUGAGCUCAUGACGGUACCGUAAGAAUAAGCACCGGCUAACUACGUGCCAGCCGCCGCGGUAA